AUUGAACGCUGGCGGCAUGCCUUACACAUGCAAGUCGAACGGCAGCACGGGUGCUUGCACCUGGUGGCGAGUGGCGAACGGGUGAGUAAUACAUCGGAACAUGUCCUGUAGUGGGGGAUAGCCCGGCGAAAGCCGGAUUAAUACCGCAUACGAUCUACGGAUGAAAGCGGGGGACCUUCGGGCCUCGCGCUAUAGGGUUGGCCGAUGGCUGAUUAGCUAGUUGGUGGGGUAAAGGCCUACCAAGGCGACGAUCAGUAGCUGGUCUGAGAGGACGACCAGCCACACUGGGACUGAGACACGGCCCAGACGCCUACGGGAGGCAGCAGUGGGGAAUUUUGGACAAUGGGCGAAAGCCUGAUCCAGCAAUGCCGCGGGUGUGAAGAAGGCCUUCGGGUUGUAAAGCACUUUUGUCCGGAAAGAAAUCCUUGGCCCUAAUACGGGCGGGGGAUGACGGUACCGGAAGAAUAAGCACCGGCGAACUACGU
RNAcentral lists this ribosomal RNA (485 nucleotides) under uncultured bacterium. RNAcentral's name for it is "partial 16S ribosomal RNA". It matches the Rfam family "Bacterial small subunit ribosomal RNA", at positions 29 to 506 of the family's 1533-position model. The record is from RNAcentral.